GACGAACGCUGGCGGCGUGCUUAACACAUGCAAGUCGAACGGAAAGGCCCCUUUGGGGGUACUCGAGUGGCGAACGGGUGAGUAACACGUGAGUAACCUGCCCUUGACUUCGGGAUAACUUCAGGAAACUGGGGCUAAUACCGGAUAGGAAUCCUUGCUGCAUGGUGGGGGUUGGAAAGCUUCGGCGGUUUUGGAUGGACUCACGGCUUAUCAGCUUGUUGGUGGGGUAGUGGCUUACCAAGGCUUUGACGGGUAGCCGGCCUGAGAGGGCGACCGGCCACAUUGGGACUGAGAUACGGCCCAGACUCCUACGGGAGGCAGCAGUGGGGAAGAUUGCACAAUGGGCGGAAGCCUGAUGCAGCAACGCCGCGUGCGGGAUGACGGCCUUCGGGUUGUAAACCGCUUUCAGCAGGGGCGAAGCUUGUGGUGACGGUACCUGCAGAAGAAGCACCGGCUAACUACGUG
Molecule: ribosomal RNA, 465 nt
Filed under: uncultured bacterium
Lineage: Bacteria
Description: partial 16S ribosomal RNA
Rfam family: Bacterial small subunit ribosomal RNA
Source: RNAcentral